This 501-nucleotide ribosomal RNA is filed under the name uncultured bacterium. RNAcentral's name for it is "partial 16S ribosomal RNA". It matches the Rfam family "Bacterial small subunit ribosomal RNA", at positions 30 to 523 of the family's 1533-position model. The record is from RNAcentral.
AUUGAACGCUGGCGGCAGGCUUAACACAUGCAAGUCGAGCGGGGGAAGGUAGCUUGCUACCGGACCUAGCGGCGGACGGGUGAGUAAUGCUUAGGAAUCUGCCUAUUAGUGGGGGACAACAUCUCGAAAGGGAUGCUAAUACCGCAUACGUCCUACGGGAGAAAGCAGGGGAUCUUCGGACCUUGCGCUAAUAGAUGAGCCUAAGUCGGAUUAGCUAGUUGGUGGGGUAAAGGCCUACCAAGGCGACGAUCUGUAGCGGGUCUGAGAGGAUGAUCCGCCACACUGGGACUGAGACACGGCCCAGACUCCUACGGGAGGCAGCAGUGGGGAAUAUUGGACAAUGGGGGGAACCCUGAUCCAGCCAUGCCGCGUGUGUGAAGAAGGCCUUAUGGUUGUAAAGCACUUUAAGCGAGGAGGAGGCUACUCUAGUUAAUACCUAGGGAUAGUGGACGUUACUCGCAGAAUAAGCACCGGCUAACUCUGUGCCAACAGCCGCCGCCG